GUAGAAAAACCAACGAGAGGUAAUCAAGAAAAAUACACUGAAAAAUUGCAACCAGCAGAGGUAAAGGUCAAUCAAUUUUCUAAAGGUAAUACCAAAACUAACCAAGGAUAUUUAAGAUGAAGGUAGAUACUGAUUAUCUUGAUGAACACAAUCUACGUCAUUAAUAGCAUUAACCAGCAUCAUCUAAAUGGCGAUUCAUCAUGGCUAUUUCCGAUCUUCAUUUCAAGUUCAAUGUUUGAUGUAAAUGCCUUAUUAUACGUGUAGCCAUCUUGACAUUGAAUUGGAUUCACACAAUUGGAUUCAUUGUUUAUUGAAAAUAAUUAAUUAAUAGCAAGCAAAGGUGUAACUAAUUAGAUUGGCCAAACACCAGCAAACUCACCAUGGAUCCAUCAAAAUGGGUUUUCCUCAAAUCAACUGUUCCGUUUGAUUGUCAACUUUAACUUGGCACCAAAAAUCUAUUAACCCUUAAUUACUGCCAAUUGAAUGGGGAAUCAAGAAAAUCUGCUUCCGCCAUUCACAUUUAUAUUAUAAUUUAAAGUCUGUCAUAAUCAUUUUGAUUAUAAAGAGCGUCAAUUAACCUAACCACAAUACAAUUUGUGUAUGUGCGUCCCAUAGCUCUUAUUAUCAAAGAAUUGUCUAUUUAGCUAUUAUUUAUAACUCUUGUAAUUGUAAUACAUAACCAAUUAGAUGCAACAAUUGUCAAUUUGAAUUGCUCAACAAGUGAUUAGUAAAUUUUUGUCACAUGAAAUUGUAAUAUCUUUGUUGUCUGUAGCCUGCUAUUGAAAAGCAUAUUGAAUGUUCAAUGAGACUCAAAAAACAGGUUAAAUCUGAUUGUAACUGUGUUACUUUUUUCUGGUAAACAAUUGUCAUUUUCAGUCUAUUGCUAAAAUUAA
Molecule: long non-coding RNA, 893 nt
Organism: Tetranychus urticae (two-spotted spider mite)
Lineage: Eukaryota; Metazoa; Arthropoda; Arachnida; Trombidiformes; Tetranychidae
Source: RefSeq, a predicted model, not a curated record